This 242-nucleotide small nuclear RNA is filed under the name Nomascus leucogenys (northern white-cheeked gibbon). RNAcentral describes it as "U4 spliceosomal RNA (ENSNLEG00000028564.1)". The stretch from base 1 to 160 matches the Rfam family "U4 spliceosomal RNA". Rfam says of the family: U4 small nuclear RNA (U4 snRNA) is a component of the major U2-dependent spliceosome. The structure of U4 snRNA from yeast and human has been reported. Lineage: Eukaryota; Metazoa; Chordata; Mammalia; Primates; Hylobatidae. The record is from RNAcentral.
UGCAGUGGCAGUAUUGCAGCCAAUGAGGUUUAUCCGAGGGGUGAUUAUUGCUCUUUGAAAAUUGAAAAAAAAAAAAAAAAAAAAAAAAAAAAGACACGACAUUUGCAUAAAUUCUUUUUUUUUUUUUUUUUUUUUUGAAAAGGAAUCUCGCUCUGUUGCCCAAACUGGAGUGCAGGGAUGCGAUCUCGGCUCACUGCAAACUCCGCCUCCUGGGUUCAGGCCAUUCUCCUGCCUCAGCCUCC